GGUCAGCUCACUUCUAAACUUGGUCGGCUCAGUGUCAGGAGGCUAAAAAUUAAGCUUUUUGCCAUUUUGCUCCACUACUCAGUUGGUCGGCUCAGUCUAGAACAGGAUUGGCUCAGUUGAACUCGAUCAACUCACUUUGAACUGGGUUGGCUAACUGAACUAUUUCAUGAAACUUCAGUCUUCCUAUCUUUUGACUGUUCUCUAUCAUUGGGUCGGCUCAGUUAAAACUGAAUCGACUUA
Molecule: long non-coding RNA, 240 nt
Filed under: Elaeis guineensis (African oil palm)
Lineage: Eukaryota; Viridiplantae; Streptophyta; Magnoliopsida; Arecales; Arecaceae
Description: long non-coding RNA (EGUI_LNC034706)
Source: RNAcentral